GGCUAAUUGGGUUAACAUUUGUGUCAUUAAACCAAUAAAAUCAGGACGUGAGAAGACUCCAGUUUAAGGCCAGAGACUGCAGAGGAAACACGAAUGCGUGGCCUGCUGUGGAGGCAUUUCCACGCCCUGGUGCAGUCUAGACAGUUCAGCAUGGUUGAGUUCAUUUCUUUAAUGCAAAUGAUGAACGCAUAGGUUUAUAUGCAUGAAGACAGACUGAGGCCCUACACAAAAAAAACUCUUGAGGGGAUGCGUAGCAGAAGAUUCCCGGGGUGAUUAUCAUGUUAAUCAGCGGAGCAGGAGCCUCUCAACCCCGUCUACGCGUUUCAGCUGCAGACACCAACAUCUCCGGCAACUUUUGAGUGACAAGCCACAUUCAGAUAUAGAACCUAUAUCAACGCACUGAUGCAGUUAAAGAGACCUGAACCACACUAUCAGUGAAGACGUGGUGUUUAAUUAAUGGCAGGUUGAAACUUGCUACACGGGGACAUUUAAAAUGAUGAACACACUUGACUCUUUGGAGACAAACCCUGGGAUUAUAUCAUAUGGACAACGUGAGAAAGUUGCACAGUCGAAAAUCACGUUGGCCGAACGCCCCUGUGGGAGUUACGACGUUGGGUGAGUGAUGGUGCCACCUUGCACUUCUGCGUGGGUCUGUUGGGGGGCGUGAGAGGCGCUGGCGGUCCUCAUUAUAAUUACAUCGCUCUUGCAUAAUAUCAGAAAAUCUCAGAGGGUGGGAACAGUGUUACCUCACUGACUCACGAGGGGGUGGGUCUUGGACGGGCUAUAUGAUUUUGGACAAAUGAGACGUUAGACCAUUUGGAGACAACGGUGGUGGAGAUGUAGCCGUCCACGCGGACAGCCCCAACUCCCCUGUUCGUUGAGGGGAGGACGGGGGGCUGUGGACGCGGUGGGCCGCCGCGUGACGAUACGCAGGAGGACAAAAAAACCCCGAGGAGGACCCGUUAGAUUUUAAAAAAUGGACGGUGCCGCCGGGACGUCACGACGCGCCGUCGCCACAAAGCCCCAUACGCGUCUCAUGAACGCGCUCAUUUGGCUUCCAGCUCGCCGCACGUCCGGAGGGACCGCCGCUUACCGGGAGCUCGCCCAGACGCCGCGCCGCGCCGCGCCGCGCGCCCUGCCGCGUCCGAAGGGGGAGACGAACCUAACACACCAGAAAGAGAAACGAACGAAGACCAAGACGCCCCGCAGCCCCCAGGUUUCUGAUGAGCCUGAAGAGGAGAAGCGCCUCCUCUUUGAAUCCACCAGUGAUGGACAGUGGUGUGUUAUUACUGGAGGACGGUUAAAUGUGGGAUUUCAGGCCAAGCAGCUGUCGCCGACGACCUGACGCUGGACAGUGAAAAUAAAACUGAUCAAUGGACAUGAAGUCA
This 1388-nucleotide long non-coding RNA is filed under the name Betta splendens (Siamese fighting fish). RNAcentral describes it as "lncRNA (ENSBSLG00000014719.1)". The record is from RNAcentral. Lineage: Eukaryota; Metazoa; Chordata; Actinopteri; Anabantiformes; Osphronemidae.